This 337-nucleotide unclassified non-coding RNA is filed under the name plant metagenome. RNAcentral's name for it is "partial contains small subunit ribosomal RNA and internal transcribed spacer 1". The record is from RNAcentral.
AAAGUCGUAACAAAGGUUUCCUGUAGGUGAACCUGCGGAAGGAUCAUUACCCAAAGAAAGAACCAGAAAACCACUUCAGGGAGGCGGACCUACGGACAGUCUUUGAAACCCCCUGUUGGGAACCACCUACUACCUGCAAACGCACCGUCCUGAGCGGUGGCAGGACGAUGAAUCAGGCACCGGUGGCCCGAUUUACCUUCACAUAAUUCCCUGGCGUAUCAACUUCCACGUUGCUUCCCCGUAAUCCUCACUCAUUGGUGGAACCCGGGGGAAGGUCUCCACAAAAACGACCUGCACUCAACAGCAGUCAGACGGACCAAUGACAAAUCAUUAAAAA